UAACGAGCAAAACAUCCAAGAUGGCGGCGAAACGUCGAAUUUCUCGAAAACGAAUUAUAACCGCGCGAAAACACCUACAGGAGAGUCCCCUCCCCCCACCCCCCGGGAUGUGUGGACUAGUGUAAAAAUGGCAAGUAAAAGAUCCAAGUCAGAACGUAUUUGAUCAAUUGUCACUAUCACCAACUCCUGGCGGAAAACAACCAAGAAUGUCUGGAUUACCAGAUCGAUGGCAAAGUCGUCCCUCAGCUUCUUUAUGGCCUCUCUCCAACUCCCAGGCAUUAUGGUAUCCGCAAAGUUCUCUUUGGACAUGAAUUGGAAUCUGUCACCUCCAUCAUGCUGCCGUUUGAGAUGAAAUCAAUAAAUCGCGAUCGCUGUGUGCUUU
Nematostella vectensis (starlet sea anemone) is the source of this 382-nucleotide long non-coding RNA. RefSeq lists it as uncharacterized. Lineage: Eukaryota; Metazoa; Cnidaria; Anthozoa; Actiniaria; Edwardsiidae. The transcript has 2 exons. The record is from RefSeq and is a predicted model, not a curated record.